RNAcentral lists this ribosomal RNA (440 nucleotides) under uncultured bacterium. Its description in RNAcentral is "partial 16S ribosomal RNA". It matches the Rfam family "Bacterial small subunit ribosomal RNA", at positions 338 to 795 of the family's 1533-position model. The record is from RNAcentral.
CCUACGGGUGGCAGCAGUGGGGAAUAUUGCACAAUGGGGGGAACCCUGAUGCAGCAACGCCGCGUGGGUGAAGAAGUACUCCGGUAUGUAAAGCCCUGUCAGCAGGGAAGAAACUGACGGUACCUGACCCAGAAGCCCCGGCUAACUACGUGCCAGCAGCCGCGGUACUACGUAGGGGGCAAGCGUUAUCCGGAUUUACUUGGUGUAAAGGGAGCCUAGACGGCAAGGCAAGUCUUGAGUGAAAGCCCGUGGGCCAACCCCGGGACUGCUUUGGAAACCGUGUUGCUGGAGUGCAGGAGGGGUAAGCGGAAUGCGUAGUGUAGCGGUGAAAUGCGUAGAUAUUAGGAGGAACACCGGUGGCGAAGGCGGCUUACUGGACUGUAACUGACGUGGAGGCUCGAAGGCGUGGGGAGCAAACAGGAUUAGAUACCCCUGUAGUC